CAAAAAGGUUCUUCGACUUCUUUCCCAAACAACGUGGUCUCUCUCCUGGAUUAGAAUAAGUUGACAUACUGGGUCACGCUAAAGGAGAAACCUUUGUUCCUGGGUUGCCUUCACACCUGACAAGCUUCCAGUUAGAGCUGCUUCUGAAAAUUCUUUUCUGGAUGAAUACUACAGAAAAAUGAGGAAGCGCAUCAAGAGUCAGCCUGUUUGGAGACAUCGCCUGCGGUGAGUGAUUUCCAGAAACACUGACUCAGUGGAGUCAUGGAACAAUAAUGAAGGGUAACUGUCCAAAGGUUUUCAAAAAAACUCUUAAUAUAUUGCUUCAUGUUAAAAGUCGUCAGCACCAUUGGCAAGCACUAAAGAUGAAUAUGAAGGAGUUGUACUUUUCUGGAUGUGAUUAAUUUUGGCACAGUGCUUGUUCCCAUGGCUAAGCCCUGUGUGCACUGCUGUUCUUGUCAGGAUUUUCCGUUAAAGGAUUACAUAUGCCGUUCCACUGGAAGUGUUAAGUCAAUUGAUCAAGUCAAUGAAGUCUUGCAACCUCUAUGUGUGGCAGAGCAUGAUCUUGGAUAUCUUCAGCAAAGAAUGUGAGCUCCUCCCAAAAGAGAAGUAAUUUGCUUUCCAGCCAUGAAAAUGCAAGUGACCGUGGAUGAUGGGGGAGGUCGUGCAGAACUGGUGAUUGUGUCCUACUCCUUUUCCCAGUAGUCUGUCAUUUUCCUGCAUUGGCAGACUUUUAUUUGAGAACCAUUUUUGACGAAUGCAAAGCUGGCUGCCAGAGGUUUUGUGCCUGCCAACCUGCUACAAAACUAAGAUUCUGGAUUUACUGCCAAGUUCAGCAUCAUGCAAAUUGACUCUGAGAGAGGCAUGAUUCAGGGUUGUUACAGUCCACGGAAAUAUUUUCCUUGCUUUUAUUAGACUUUUGAUCAGUUCUAAAUGUAGAAUUUGGAUAAGCUUAAGCAAUAGCUUGUAGAAACUUACACAGACAUUGUUUCUGGUAUUAUCAAAUACUCUGGAAGCCUGAUUAUGAUAUACAUUUGGUCUCUAUUAUGCCAUGAAGUAGGCAUAUCAGUUAAUUAGCUAUCAGCUGCAAUUCCUUUGUUUGUACAAUGUAAUUGUUUACCGUGAAAAAAAUUUUAGAUUAUUUGUUUAGAUUAAUUACUUAAAUGUACCUAAAUUAAGGUGGCAUAGGGGAGAAAUUUGAGAUCAUUCUACUAAUUGCUUAGCAGGCUAAUGGAACGUUGAACUCCAAAAUUACUUCUGCUUAAAACUUCUGCAAAGCAACAAACAUUACGGAGUAAAUAACUGAGUGCUCUCUCUGCCUCUAGUUUUCAUUUUGUCUUUCUUCAAAGAAGCUGCAUUCAGAAAAGGUGAAAUUUAUUUUUUUUUAUUCAGAGUCUGUAUUUAUGUAGAUGACAUUCUGAUGACAUACCUAGCGUAAUAAUUCUGAAUUUAACAUAACGUGUGGCACCCAUUAAAUGUGUCUAAAGUAAUUCAUAUUUCUGGCCCCCUGUUUUACAGAAGAUAUGCUGAUGUGCAUCAUCAUCUUAUUAUUGAGAGUUUAUAAUUCUGGACUUGACUUACAUUGGUGUCAUUCACACAAAGCAGCUUAUCUGUGCGUAUCGACCUCUUUUCACGGUCGGGAAGAUAAAUGUAUAUUUGAUAGAUCCAGUCUGUAUGGUUUUUGGCCGCUGAUUA
Molecule: long non-coding RNA, 1692 nt
Organism: Gymnogyps californianus (California condor)
Lineage: Eukaryota; Metazoa; Chordata; Aves; Accipitriformes; Cathartidae
Exons: 9
Source: RefSeq, a predicted model, not a curated record